GGCUACCAUUAAUUCCCCCUAACACAUAAAACCCCAAUUAUAAUCCUAAAAUCCCCUAACCCUAGUUCACUCUAACCUAGCCGCACCACCCCUCUUCUCUCAACCAUCUGCCGCUUCACUACCCAAACCCGCCGGAACCCGCUCCAAUGGUCCCCUCUUUCCUCUCUUUGCCACGUAGCCCUAGCCUAACGAACUUCUGACAAGAAUAUUUCAUCUCUCUCACGCACUCUUCACUCACACACUCUUCACUCACACGGUUCGUUUAAGGCAAGGGAGGACGAAUGGUGAGCGUAGGAUUGAGUUUCGGCUCAAUCUACUCCUUCCAUUUGUCCUCUACUUGUUUUAACAAACGAAUUUGGAGAUUUUUAGAGGAUUUUCUGGUUUUCUUGGAGGAAAAGAAUAGAAGUUUCUAGAGUUCCUAUAAAUAUGGGGAUUAUUUUUCUGGAGUUCGAGGGGAGAAAAGAGAAAACAGUGAGAAAAGAAAAGAGCUAGGUUUCUUUUAGGGAUUGUUCUUCAUUUUUCACCUUCCACCGAUUUUUAACUCUAAAUUCUCAAUAAAAAAUAUGAAAAAAAAAUCUGCUUCAUCAGUUCCGAUUUCGGAUUUGGAUUUCGACUAUAGAGUUUGAUUGAGUCGAGUUUAUUUUGAGCUGUUUGUUGAUUGCUAUUCGAGGUCCGAGUGAUCGAGUUGCCGUUAUGAGGUCCGUUCGUGGCUCUUGGUUCCUGUUGCUGUAGUAUCGUUCAUUUCAAAUUUCGGUUGCUGAAUCCGCUUGUAUUUGCGUCUUUCAACGGAAUACAUUGAAAACGAUCUUGUCAUUCAAGGUUCACAAAAUGAAGGUUCAUCGUCUCUGAUGUUUGCAUAGUAAGCGAAGAGAUGAGAGGCAUACCAUACCUUCUCACAUUUCCCCUUUCUAUUGCAUUAUGGAGUAGGUUAUUUGCAGCAUCGGAAAAUCUGUUGUAUCACAGCUUCACUCAGUUCUAUGUUGAAUACCAGAGUUUGGGUAUCAGCGAGGAAGAGGGAAGGGAAAAUUGUAGCAUUUACCAUGAUUCAGAGUAAGACAAUGUAUUUGGAUGGAAAAGAAUCCAAGAUUAUUGAAGGAUCAAUAGGGUUAUUUCGAAUCUCAAUCAAAUAGCGUAGCACAGGAAGGCUCUCAAUCAAAUAGCGUAGCACGAGACGGCACCAAGCAUAGCGAGUUAGGUAAUACAAUAUUCUGGAAUAUCUUUUAUGAAAAAAGGUAAUAUAUGGUAUAAGAACAAUGGUCUUUCAGGGAUCUUUAACACUUAGAGAUCUACAUCAGAAUCAGACUGCAUUGCUAAAACAGUUUUAUCGGUGCUUUGUUUUCUUUUCCUUUUCAAUUUUGUUACAACUUUUUGCUAGGAGGACCUCUGGUCGUAUAAUUUUCUCUUUCUCCUCUUUAUCAAUAGAAUACUUUUUCAUAAUCCAGGAAAAAAUGAAGAGAUAAAGAAGAAAGAGCACGAAAAGGAAACAAUGCGUACCUUUUCUUCUCUCUCUCUCUCCCUCUCUCUCUCUUAUCAUGAACGCAGAUUUAUUACGUUUCCAAAAUUCUAAAGCCGAUUGUGAAAAUAUAUGUUCAACACUUUGUCGUGAGGUAUCACUAGAAGCUGGUCCUAUAUCACUUAGACUAGGAUGAAAAUAUUUGAUUCAGCUUCGAGCCAGAAACUGCAAAGUCAGUAUUUGGCAAGUCUCUUAGGCUUUUAGAGGAUAACUAUGAGGUAACCCUGUCCACCUAAGACAGAUUAUUGUACAUAGAGGCCAAAUAAAGGUUUGUAACCUUAGGUUGAUAGGUUUCAUCACAUGGUUGUGAAAACAUCUGAUAUUUCUAGCACAACUUCCAUAAAUGCAGGAUGUGACAAUUCCCUAAUGGCGGAAAUUAAAUCUUCCAAGGCCCCAGUCCUUAUUUGACAUGUUUGUAGUUUUUCCUAAUAGCUCACAGGAGCAAACACUUUCCCUUAACAAACCGCCCAACCACAUUAUAGAUUCUACCUCCCCGUGCAUACAUUUCUAAAAAGAGCACAUACAUUUCCAGAAAGACCAAUUGCACUAGCAUUAAGUCGUGAGAUAUACCUUGGAAAAAAGUUAAUAUGGCCCUGCAAGCUGUUGUUUCUGCCACUCCGCUCUUGAAUUUUUCUAUGAGCUCCUCAGACUUCCAAAAUAGUCGUCUCCCUUUUGCGUCCUCGCUUACACAGAAGAUCUUACUUACAACAUUGAGUUCUCUCAGCAAAGAUUCUCUGUCCCAGGUCGGUGCACAGUGUUGGAAGACAUCUUUCACUCAACCUAAAAGCUCAGACGUGCGAUUGCAUGCUCUGCACCUGAAUAGCAAUUCAGAAGAGUCCAGUCCAUUUGAUGGGGAAGAGCCCAUUCCAAUUUGUUUAUCGCGAAUUGCACAGUCUGUGUGAGUCCAAUGAGCACACGAGUCGCAACCAAUCCACCGGCACGUAUUCACUUCAAAAUCAAAUUUGUUGCAGAUUAUACACAUACAUAGGCUGCAGAAACCCUUCCUAUUAGUGCAUAUCUCACAGUAGCAAUCAUCAGCCGGCAACUGACUUUGGCAUGCUAUAUUCCGACAUCUCUUGUACACAAAAACCUCAAUCAGGGAAGUCUGAGAAAUACUGACACUUGGGUGCAGGAACGCCUGAAUUCCAGAGUUAAUAGCGACAAGAAUUUCCAACUGAACUCGAUGAGCUCUAAUCAGUGUCUUGGCAGUUAAAUCAGACCUACUCCGAAUGACCCUCUGCAAAACCAAAAAUUCAUCUUUUUGCUGAGAGCCCCCACCCCCCUCAAGCAUCCUCCGAAGCCUACCUUUUAGCUCUUCUAAAUGCUCGUUGGGGAGCAAAUGCAUUUUCUCAGAAAUUAUAUCCACUCGUUCUCUAGCUAUAUCAAGAAGAUAAAUCUUAGUUGAACCAGAAAGCUGGUGAAUUACAGACUGCUCAUAAUAACCCUUCUCAGCUUUCCCAUUCUCAAGCUUUACAUGAGUCACGGCAUCAGCAGCUGGCCAAGUAUCUCUUGAGCUAGCACUCUCAGUAGGCGAUUCACGAAUUUGAUCAGAGUUCAACCUGGUUUCAUGAUUAUCAGAUGAUGCCCUGACAUCUGAAGAUGCAAGAAACAAGGAUGGAUGUAACCCACUGGGACGUGGAGGCAGCAUAUUUGAUAAAGAUUGAUUAUUGAUAUUAGAAU
Nicotiana tabacum (common tobacco) is the source of this 3193-nucleotide long non-coding RNA. RefSeq lists it as uncharacterized. The record is from RefSeq and is a predicted model, not a curated record. Lineage: Eukaryota; Viridiplantae; Streptophyta; Magnoliopsida; Solanales; Solanaceae.